Non-coding RNA from Schizosaccharomyces pombe (fission yeast), 2463 nucleotides. Lineage: Eukaryota; Fungi; Ascomycota; Schizosaccharomycetes; Schizosaccharomycetales; Schizosaccharomycetaceae. The record is from the annotation of a GenBank genome assembly.
GAAAGCCCUGUAGAAUAUUCCGUUCCUUUUAGAAGUGUCGUAAGUUGCUGAUCAUAAAUUACCGCUCCUAUCGAUAUUCCCACAGAUGCACCCAUAUUCCUUAGCAGCAUAAAUGCGGAACAAGAAGUCGCCAUCAAAGCAGGAGGUACAGAAGCCUGAAUAGCAAUAAGAUUGGGUUGGAACAGGUUGCCAAUUCCAACAGCUGUCAAAGCCAAGAAUCCCAUGGUACGUGGUAUAGGUGUGUCAUAGUAUAUUGCGAUCAUACUACCGGUACCAGCUAAUAAAACUAUCCAUCCUCCAAUCAUUGGAUAUCGAUAAUUUUUCAAUUUUCCUAUUCCCAUACCACUAAUGGCAGAAACAACUGAAGAUACAACUGCCAGAGAUAAAGUAUGAACACCAGACAUUAACGGACCAUCACCCUUGAUGCUUUGAAAGUAGAUUGGAAUGUAAUAAGUCACAGUUGACAUGAUAUAAUAAUGUAAGAAGGAGGUUACCAUCACAGAAGAUAAAGAGAGUGUUUGAAACGCCGAGGGAGCAAUAAUUCUAGUGCGGGUGGUAUAAAGUUCAUUGACGACAAAACCGGCAAUGCAAAGGAUACCAAAAAUUAAAUAGCACAAGACAUUGGCAUGGGCCCAAUGUCCUGUUGUAGAUCCGAUGUUCAAGCCAAGUAAAAAUAACACAACACCAGUCGUAAUGGUUACAAUGCCCACAAAGUCAAAAUCACGUAAAAACACGCAAAACGAAACUGUAGGCUUGGGUACAAGAUUGAGGAAAAAAAUCAAGAGUGCAAGCGAAAGACCACCAGUAGGUAGAUUAAUGAAGAAAAUCCAGCGCCAUGUAGUAUUCUGUGAAAUUGCACCUCCAAUUAAAGGACCCAUAACAGAAGCAACCCCCCAAGUGACUCCCAUACAACCUGUGUAAUAAGGUCUGGUCUGUAAAGGAGUAAUGUCAGCUAUAACGAUUGUAACUAAAGACAUAAUACCCCCACCGCCGAUGCCCUGCACAGCACGGCAUAGUACAAGCCAAAGCAUAUUUUGGGCAGCACCACACAUGGCACUACCGAAGAGGAAAAGAACAAUGGAAGUAUAGAGGACAAUUUUCCUACCGACUACUUCACUCAUAAUACCACAAAAUGGAAGGAUAGAUGUUUCUGCCAAUGAAUAAGCAGUACCAAUCCACGAAUACGAUGAACCGCCGUCGAGAUUUGCUACAAUAGUGGGAAUAGCCGUAGUAAUGACGGUUUGAUCCAAGGCAGCCAAGAAAAUCGACAACAUAAGUCCUGGAAUAACGAUGUACAAUCGAUUGGAGGGCAACACAAGGGUGAAAUCAGGAGAAUCAUUUUUUUCAGACGAGAUUUCAUGGGUUGAAAACCGAGACUUUAGAGAACCGGCACCAUAAAUUUGAUCUUGAUUCUUGAAAGAAAAGGCUUUCGAGUUUAUAGACUUUAUUUCGUUUGCUUCAUCAAGCGCAGUUGGAUACCAAGCUACUUCACUGCCUGUGGUAUAGAGUUGUAAACUCUUUGGGGAGGCCAAAUUACGAUUUGGAGAAGUAGAAGGAUUCAUUAUGUUUAGUAACUUUAUAACACAAAUACACUAGGGAAAAAAAUCCGUAAGGAAGAGGGUGAAUGCAGCUAGGAGAAAAAGAGAUAUUGCUAGGAAAAAAAAUAAUAUUGAAGGAAAGAAUAUAAAUAAUCAAGACAACGAAUGCAAUUUUAAUGAAACAAUUGAGUAAGUCUGUUACAAUCAGAAAGGGGGGAAAUUUUAACUAAAUCACAGAAUAAAAACACUACUUCCAGGAUGCCUAGUUUUGGUUAUGGUAGAGUUUUUUUUCUACUUGCCUGGAAUGAGUACGUUUUGAGAAAACACAUAGAUAGGAAAUUAUAAGGAAGGAAAAUUGACGCGGCUUUAAGUGCACAUAUUCUUAGUUUAAAAAUAAGAAAAUAUGCACAUUAGGCCAAGUAAUUACCGAGUAAGCAUUUUCAUGUAGAAAAUUUGAAUACGAUCUUUAGAGGCAAUAUUUAUACAGGAUUUUUCUAACGAUGGAGCAAAGGGAGAGCAAAAAAAAAAAAGCCGCGCUAAUAUCCGGAAAAUAGGGACACUGAAAUAAGGAGGUUCGUCGAGAAAAGUCUACAGAGUGUCUAUGCAUAAGAAAAUGAAGGGAAGUCGAAAAAAGCAGGCAUUUAAAAACGACGAGAAAAUGAAUGAAGAGUAUUCCUUUUUGAGUGAGCAAAAACGAUAAUGCCGUGAAGAAAUGAGCAAAUUUACCAAGAUAAGAGGAUAUCGGGAUAGUUGAUUAAUAUUGAUAUAGAUGUAAUGACAGCAAUGUAUAGUAUUAUAAAUUUGUAAUCUUUUAAAAUGUGAGGAAUGUAGAAAUAAUCGUAAACAUGUAUGAUAUUAUAAAGGGAAAAUAGGGGAUCGGAGUAAACAAGUAAGUGAAUGAAGAGAGAGAGGGUUGACAAAAUAU